UACAGAGGCCUCAAGCGUUGUUCGGAUUCAUUGGGCGUAAAGGGUGCGUAGGCGGCGCGGUAAGUCGGGUGUGAAAUCUCGGGGCUUAACUCCGAAACUGCAUUCGAUACUGCCGUGCUUGAGGACUGGAGAGGAGACUGGAAUUUACGGUGUAGUGGUGAAAUGCGUAGAUAUCGUAAGGAAGACCAGUGGCGAAGGCGGGUCUCUGGACAGUUCCUGACGCUGAGGCACGAAGGCCAGGGGAGCAAACGGG
Molecule: ribosomal RNA, 253 nt
Filed under: uncultured bacterium
Lineage: Bacteria
Description: partial 16S ribosomal RNA
Rfam family: Bacterial small subunit ribosomal RNA
Source: RNAcentral